GCCUCGGUAGCUCAGCCUGGUAGAGGUUGUGACGCCAUAAGCGAGUGCCUUGUAAGCACUAGGUCGCGGGAUCGAGGCCCGCCCGAGGCU
RNAcentral lists this transfer RNA (90 nucleotides) under Nitrososphaerales archaeon. RNAcentral's name for it is "tRNA-Thr". It matches the Rfam family "tRNA". From Rfam's summary of the family: Transfer RNA (tRNA) molecules are approximately 80 nucleotides in length. Their secondary structure includes four short double-helical elements and three loops (D, anti-codon, and T loops). The record is from RNAcentral. Lineage: Archaea; Thermoproteati; Nitrososphaerota; Nitrososphaeria; Nitrososphaerales.